Molecule: ribosomal RNA, 427 nt
Filed under: uncultured bacterium
Lineage: Bacteria
Description: partial 16S ribosomal RNA
Rfam family: Bacterial small subunit ribosomal RNA
Source: RNAcentral
GGGGGAAUAUUGCACAAUGGGCGCAAGCCUGAUGCAGCCAUGCCGCGUGUAUGAAGAAGGCCUUCGGGUUGUAAAGUACUUUCAGCGGGGAGGAAGGCGAUAAGGUUAAUAACCUUGUCGAUUGACGUUACCCGCAGAAGAAGCACCGGCUAACUCCGUGCCAGCAGCCGCGGUAAUACGGAGGGUGCAAGCGUUAAUCGGAAUUACUGGGCGUAAAGCGCACGCAGGCGGUCUGUCAAGUCGGAUGUGAAAUCCCCGGGCUCAACCUGGGAACUGCAUUCGAAACUGGCAGGCUAGAGUCUUGUAGAGGGGGGUAGAAUUCCAGGUGUAGCGGUGAAAUGCGUAGAGAUCUGGAGGAAUACCGGUGGCGAAGGCGGCCCCCUGGACAAAGACUGACGCUCAGGUGCGAAAGCGUGGGGAGCAAACA